UCUCUUCCUCCCGAUCUCUCCAGAAGCUCGACGUUUUUUUGUCUCCCGCGGUCUUUCCCAGGCGGCGACGGGCGUGGCCACGGUGUGGCACCGGUGGCCCCCUCCCCCUCUGCCCCCGUCCCCGUCCUCGCCCUGGCCCCUGCCCGCGCCUCCCCUUCCUCUCCCUCUCUGCAUCUCUGUCGACGUGGUGGCACACCGGCCUGGCACGGUCGCGGCCAUGCUGCUGCUACACCUCUCCGCCCCUUCCCAUCGCUGUCGCACGGGGGAACACUGGAGCCGCGGGAGAACCAGAGACGCACAAAUCAGGCGGAGGUCCCAUAGCUGUCCACCUUGCCUCCCCACAGGAUGUUCCAGCCUACGAAGUGCGAGAUAACUUUUGGCCCUUUCAUGCCCUAGGGUUUUGCUGGGGUGGAUAUGAACUCAGCUUAAUUGGUUUGGUUCUAAACCUCUCUCGCCUUUCACAUUCAUAUGUGUAGUUUCGUAGCUUACUUUUCCCUGAGGAAUAGAUUAAAUGUGCAAAUAAUGCAUUUAGGUGUUUCCUGAUCUAAUGAACAGGUACAAUAUAUCAUUGGUUUCCUGCAGUCUUAGAGAGGUUCAGUUUAAUGAUUUACUAAAAAAAGAAUUUAGGUGUUUUUAGAAAGUGACAAAAGGCUGAUAAUUUAUCUUACGCAUCAAAGGUAGUAUAUUGAUUCUACGUUAGAAAACAUUAGUGCCAUAUACAACAGUUCACUUAUAUAUAUUUACAUGUGCUAUUUUUAAAUAUUUGGUGAUGAUGCGUGGGUACCAUUGCACUUAUCAAUUCAUCUCUACUAACGUCCUCAUUUUUAAAGUCGAAUCACUUAUAUGAUACACUUUGUGUUGCCUGAGCCUAGAGGUUAAGAAGCCAAUUGCAGAACUACAGUGUAGUAGGCAGGUACCUAUCGCCUAAGCCGGCUGUAAGUGCACGCCUCGGUACUCAAGCAAGGCAGUUUACUGCCCAGCAGAACUGUUGUAAUACCAAGAUAUUUUUGUUUCCUUCCACUCCAUGUUUAUUUGCCAACAUCAUUGGGGAUUCUAGAACUGUAGUUGCUUCACUUCUGAUAUUAAUUAUUUUCUGUUUUAGCUAACUUAAACCUUUUUCUUUACAUAUAGCUCAGAUUCAGUUUAUACUUAUUUAUUUACUGAGAUUAUUCAGAAAAAUUAAGUACACCACACUUAUUUGUAAGUAUUUCCCAAUUUAAUUAUGCUUCUUUUGUUAUCAACAUCCAUCUUCCUACCAUCCUUUCAAUCUCUGCAACUUUUUAAUCUCUCUGCUACAUGGUACAUAUGCAUUCUCUGAACAAAUAAAUAAUCUACGAGCAUAAUUGAAUGAGUUGGUAUGUCAUUGUACUCAGUGCAGGCCUUAGACAAAAAAUAUUUGGUAGCACAGUUUAGCAAAAAAAAAGAAAUAUUUAUGUGCCUACAAGAUUUGAUAUUUUGUGCCUAGCUUAGAAGAUCUGUAACCAUUGUACUAUCUUCUACCUCCAAAGAAACAUCAUCGUAGAUUUCCUCACCAAAAGUAUAAAAAUAUUGAGCAAAUGCUGUUAUAAUUCUAAAAAAAUACAUCUGAUUAGUAAACUUCAUACCUAUUGUACUGGGUUAUCUUCUUGUGCUAUUUUUUUUCUCAUACAUACAUCUAUGCAUUUAGCUAAACACUACUAAAGAGACAUAAUGACGCUAUGAACUGUGUAUCAUUGUCAAAUGACAGCAAUUGUCUUUUACUCAGCAGACCCCCAAAUAAUAUAUUUUACUCAGCACAGAUUCAUAGCUGGGUAGCUGCAAUGGGCUCCACUAAUUCGGUUUCCUACAGAUCUAUCCUCUUUGUUUUUUUUUCUUAUAUGUUUUGGUCAUGUCUUUCUGGUCCAUUAAAUAAUAUAAUAAUAUAUUUAGGCUCAAGAUACAUUGCCCCUUCUGAUCAGCACAACUUGAAGGUUACUAUAUAUUGUGCUCUUCCUGCUACAUUCUCCUUUAUUUUUAAUUAAAUUUGCUUGAUCCAUUGUUGCUAUUUGUUCUAAAUGCAGGAUAUAGUACUGGAAUCGGAAUUUCCAAGCAUAAAAAACAAUUUACUAUGCUCCACGUGAAGUAUCUCUUUUUCAAGUCUUAUUAAGACCCUUGUCGUAGGUUCCAUUUUAGUUUUUCUUAGCCAUUGUCCAUGUUUUCCUGCACCCAUGUUCCUUGUUUGCAUCAAAGCUUACUCUAGCAGUACAUGCUCCUGUCUUUGUCAAGGCUGUCAUGAUUUGAUUUAGCAUCACACAUGUAUUGUUUCCCUAUUGUUCCUAAUUAUUCACAUUUCACAGUGCCCUAUCUGUGUACCCUAUAUUCUUUAUUUCUGGGAUUAGGGGAUUCAUUUGUACUCUUCAUGCUGGGAUUGGAGCAACCUAGUGACUUUGGUUACCAAGUUUAGGCCUACUUACAUGGUUCUGUUGUGUGGGUUCAGGAUAGGUUCGGCAACAUUAGCCAUGGUUAUAUUCUCUCCUAUUUGGUUUCCUUGCCCUCUUGUCCCAACACAGUGCAGAGAGGCCAAUUCUAGCAGGUAGAAGAUUACCUUGUUGAUGCCAAUGACGAUUAAGCUGACCAUCGACCAAUGCGACCCACUUAUUAAGGUAGCGUCGCUGCUUAUACUCAAUCAAGCUGGUUUUGCUGCUUUGCUUUACUCUAAGUUCAUGCCUUUGCUUUACUGUAGGUUGACAUCUUGUAACACCCAAAAUUUUGAUUUCAAUUAUUAGGAAUUAUUUUGAUUUAUUUAAGUAUUUUUGUGGACAUUGAAGCUAGCAAAUAAAUAAUUUUGUGUAAAUUAAAAUUUAUCAUAAAUUUAGAAACGUGAAUUUUGCAUUCAUGUUGGAGCAUAAUUAUUUUGUAUUGUAUGUUCUGUUUUUAUUUUGAUUAUUUUGCUUCAAAGCUUCUUUGGAAAAAGGAAUUGAGAAAAGAAAACAGAAAAGAAUUUGAAAAAAAAAGAAUCGAGGAGAAGGCCUGCUGGCCGAGAGGCCCAACCAGCCCCCCCUUUUCCUCGCCUCCUCCUCCCCCGGCCCGCUAAUGCGGCCCAGUUGCCCUCCCCUCAGCCCAGCAACCAGGCCGGCCGCGCGCGCACCCUCACCUCCCCUUCUUCUCUGGCAGCCGGGCCCCGUCCCUUUCUCUCUCUGCAGCUCUGGCCCCACCUGUCAGCGCCCUGGCCUUCUUCUCCGAUUCGUAACUGAGGCGGACACCUCCACCGGGCCGAAUCGAUCCCGAAAAUCAUGGGAUAUCUUUCUUUUCUGAGCUCUAUAAAGGUCCCUAGGUCGCCCUCCUCCCGUUCGUUCACCGAGCCACAAAACCCCCGAAGAAACCUAGCCCUAGACGCCCGACUUGGAGCUCGGGAUUCCGCCGAAGUGCGCCGCCGCAAAUCCGCGCCCUCCUUCUCUCUCGGCCCGAGCAACGGCCCUAGCCGAGACCGCGGUGAGCUUCCCAUCCUCCCGGCGUUUUCCUUUCGCAAUUUGGUGCUCGGAAUCGGGAAUUCCGUCGUCGCCGGCGAGCUCCUUUCGACCGGUAAUGGAGCCGCCGCGCCGGAGCAGACAGCCCGGUGGCCGGCCCGCCGCCAGUGGCCUCCUGGAUGCGCCCGAGCCAUUGGAUCAAGAUCUAAGGGCCCAAAACAGAUCAUACCCCUUCGCUGCGCGUUUUCUUUAAGAGUCCCUGGAUGUUUUUACUAAUUACUCCGCAGUCCUUGGCGCCUUAUGAAAGUUUCCGUUUUCCAAGUUAGAAAGCGUAUUCCUGUCGGUUGAGCUCCAAAUGUGCUUUCUAGAAAUUACAGAAUUGCCACUGAUUUGGUUUUGCUCAUAAAAUAUUCAUUUUAAUUCUGUUUUUGUCCAUUCAAAUUUCGUUGGAUUCGUAU
Sorghum bicolor (sorghum) is the source of this 3883-nucleotide long non-coding RNA. RefSeq lists it as uncharacterized. Lineage: Eukaryota; Viridiplantae; Streptophyta; Magnoliopsida; Poales; Poaceae. The transcript is spliced from 3 exons. The record is from RefSeq and is a predicted model, not a curated record.